CCUACGGGAGGCAGCAGUGAGGAAUAUUGGUCAAUGGUCGCGAGACUGAACCAGCCAAGCCGCGUGAGGGAUGAAGGUACAGAGUAUCGUAAACCUCUUUUGUCAGGGAACAAAGGCGGGGACGUGUCCCCGGCUGAGUGUACCUGAAGAAAAAGCAUCGGCUAACUCCGUGCCAGCAGCCGCGGUAAUACGGAGGAUGCGAGCGUUAUCCGGAUUUAUUGGGUUUAAGGGGUGCGCAGGCGGUCUGUUAAGUCAGCGGUAAAAGCCCGGGGCUCAACCCCGGCCCGCCGUUGAAACUGGGAGUCUUGAGUUGGAGAGAAGUAUGCGGAAUGCGUGGUGUAGCGGUGAAAUGCAUAGAUAUCGCGCAGAACUCCGAUUGCGAAGGCAGCAUGCCGGCUCUACACUGACGCUGAGGCACGAAAGUGUGGGUAUCGAACAGGAUUAGAUACCCCUGUAGUC
This 459-nucleotide ribosomal RNA is filed under the name uncultured bacterium. Its description in RNAcentral is "partial 16S ribosomal RNA". It matches the Rfam family "Bacterial small subunit ribosomal RNA", at positions 338 to 795 of the family's 1533-position model. The record is from RNAcentral.